UACGGGGGGGGCAAGCGUUGUUCGGAAUUACUGGGCGUAAAGGGCCAGUAGGCGGCCAACUAAGUCGGGUGUGAAAUCCCCAGGCUUAACCUGGGAACUGCAUUCGAGACUGCAUUGCUAGAGUAUGGGAGAGGGAAGUGGAAUUUCCGGUGUAGCGGUGAAAUGCGUAGAUAUCGGAAGGAACAUCAGUGGCGAAAGCGACUUCCUGGACCAAUACUGACGCUCAUGUGCGAAAGCGUGGGGAGCAAACAGG
This 253-nucleotide ribosomal RNA is filed under the name uncultured bacterium. Its description in RNAcentral is "partial 16S ribosomal RNA". It matches the Rfam family "Bacterial small subunit ribosomal RNA", at positions 524 to 776 of the family's 1533-position model. The record is from RNAcentral.